Molecule: ribosomal RNA, 372 nt
Filed under: uncultured organism
Description: partial 16S ribosomal RNA
Rfam family: Bacterial small subunit ribosomal RNA
Source: RNAcentral
GUAGGUGGCAAGCGUUGUCCGGAAUUAUUGGGCGUAAAGCGCGCGCAGGCGGUUCUUUAAGUCUGAUGUGAAAGCCCACGGCUCAACCGUGGAGGGUCAUUGGAAACUGGAGAACUUGAGUACAGAAGAGGAAAGCGGAAUUCCACGUGUAGCGGUGAAAUGCGUAGAGAUGUGGAGGAACACCAGUGGCGAAGGCGGCUUUCUGGUCUGUAACUGACGCUGAGGCGCGAAAGCGUGGGGAGCAAACAGGGAUUAGAUACCCUGGUAGUCCACGCCGUAAACGAUGAGUGCUAAGUGUUAGGGGGUUUCCGCCCCCUUAGUGCUGCAACUAACGCAUUAAGCACUCCGCCUGGGGAUACGGCCGCAAGGCUG